UUAUUUGUUUUUUGUAAAUAUUCAAAACAAUAUAUAGUGCUACCUAGUGGUGAACUCUGUAGUCCAUAGAAAUCUAUAGGACUACAACUCCCAUGGUGCUCCAGCCAAUCAGUGGAGUCAGGUGUGUUUAGGUGUGGGCAAUUACAGGCUGAAGAAGCUGCUGAGAGACACUUCUCAACCGACUAACGUUUACAGAUUAAGCAGGUGGCAUCCAACAGACUGACAAGCCAAACAAGUCAUCAGAACUACAUGAGAAAACACCAUUGCGGGACAUCCUGGUGGCUCAUCCUCUGAACAGCCAGUUGUCUCUAACGUACCUGAGCGUCCGCAGUCGGAGCAGGACACCAGCUCUUCUGAUUGGCCAGUCUUGUGAUUGUUCUUGGAGUCUCCCAGGCAGAAAUCACAGUACUUAUUAGGCAAAGCGAGACCAUCUGGGCCUUUCUUGGGAGCUGCAAAACAAGAUGAAAACACCCAAAGAGCCUAAGUGUUCAGUUUCUCUGAAGUCCAGCUCUAGAUUGAACCUUGCAAUCUAAUUAGGGCUGGGACAAUUCACUAUGUAUUGUGAUUUUUAAGUAUUGUGAUUCAAUAUUGCAAUUUAUGUUUACUUUUUUUAACACUAGAC
Sebastes umbrosus (honeycomb rockfish) is the source of this 622-nucleotide long non-coding RNA. RefSeq lists it as uncharacterized. The record is from RefSeq and is a predicted model, not a curated record. The transcript has 4 exons. Lineage: Eukaryota; Metazoa; Chordata; Actinopteri; Perciformes; Sebastidae.